This 470-nucleotide long non-coding RNA is filed under the name Ananas comosus (pineapple). RNAcentral describes it as "long non-coding RNA (ACOM_LNC004960)". Lineage: Eukaryota; Viridiplantae; Streptophyta; Magnoliopsida; Poales; Bromeliaceae. The record is from RNAcentral.
GAUUAUUUUUUGUUGGCUAUUUAUUACGGGCUAAAAUAGGUUUAACUUUCUGUCCUUGAUAACAGGUCAGAAGACUUAUAAGUUGAGUUGGGUGAGCCCAAAAGUUGAAUGGGAUCAUGGUCUACAAUAAACUCAUAGCAAAAGACCCUAUAAUAGAUCUAACGAUAAAAUGGGUUGAGUUGGUCGAAACCCGUGAAUAAUUGAGCCCUUAAGUGUGAUGAAUGCACCCUUCCUAUCAGCACGUAUCUUUAGGAUAUAUCGUUGGCUAGCGCUUAUAUUCCACAAGAGAUAUUAAAGUUAGAGAUAAUGAGUUUGAUCCCUAGCUAUAUGUUGCGAAUUUGUAUAGAUGUUGGGGAGAAAAAUUAUUGGUUUAAAGGGAUCAAUAUCUUUCCUAUGGCAGGAGAUCAAGUUCGUUCGAAAUAGCGGGAGGGGCUGAGUCAUAUUUGAAAUGGCAGGAGAUCGAUCGGGUG